This 305-nucleotide ribosomal RNA is filed under the name uncultured bacterium. RNAcentral's name for it is "bacterial SSU rRNA". It matches the Rfam family "Bacterial small subunit ribosomal RNA", at positions 333 to 636 of the family's 1533-position model. The record is from RNAcentral.
UCGGUCCUACGGGGGGCAGCAGUGAGGAAUAUUGGUCAAUGGCCGAGAGGCUGAACCAGCCAAGUCGCGUGAGGGAAGACGGCCCUACGGGUUGUAAACCUCUUUUGUCGGGGCGCAAAGAGAGUCACGUGUGACUCAUUGAGAGUACCCGAAGAAAAAGCAUCGGCUAACUCCGUGCCAGCAGCCGCGGUAAUACGGAGGAUGCGAGCGUUAUCCGGAUUUAUUGGGUUUAAAGGGUGCGUAGGCGGACGCUUAAGUCAGCGGUAAAAUUGCGGGGCUCAACCUCGUCGAGCCGUUGAACAUGG